RNAcentral lists this unclassified non-coding RNA (766 nucleotides) under Hevea brasiliensis (rubber tree). Lineage: Eukaryota; Viridiplantae; Streptophyta; Magnoliopsida; Malpighiales; Euphorbiaceae. The record is from RNAcentral.
CUAAAAUCAAUAUUAAAAUAGAAAUUGAACUCAAGAAGGAAAUGUCAUCUGUCUUGAUUGUGUUAUCCUUUGUAUUCCUAAUCCAUGUCAUACACGAACUUAUAAACUCAUGUUUUCCCAUCCAUGUGAGAGACAUUUUCAUCAUGGUAGUGGUAGAUUAUGUACUGCCAUUAUGACAUUGCACCAAAUCUUCAAACCUCUAACCCCAAAAAAUAUCAUAGCAUUCAAUAGAAAGAUUAAAAGCACUGAAAGCAAAACAACACCUCAAAUUGUCAAAGACUAAAUAACAAAGAUAAAGUAGUAAGCAAUGCAAUGUCGGAUUUUUAAUUCAAUUGCUGAGAAAAAGUAGUAGAUUUUUCAAAGAAUUUGAACAUCAGACAUAAUAAGAAUUAUUCUUUAUUAUUAUUUUUCCAGCGUUUUCUCAGAAACAAAAACAGACCGCAAAACAAUCCCAAUCCCAAAAAUUCAUAAACAGAUCCUAGAAAACCAGAAUCAUAAUAAUUAAACAGAAGACCAAUAAGCAGAAGAAAAGAACUAAUUACCAUUUGGCAGCUUUAAAGCCUUUGUUAAAGAAGGAAUUGAGCAUGGACAUGACACAGCUAAAUAGAGAAGGAAAGAACCAAAACAAUGAAGAAGAAGAAGAGCAUGAAAUCAGACAUGAAUGAGUAAAAAUCGUACAAUAGGAGAUAGGAAGCAAGGAGAAUAGAAUGAAAUCAGGGGAAAUAGUGCCACAUGUACUCACCUAACUUCACGGUGUACCAGAUAG